RNAcentral lists this non-coding RNA (83 nucleotides) under unclassified sequences. The record is from RNAcentral.
UAUUGACUGCCGCCGGGCAGUAUGUAUGACUUCGGUCCGCACCGUUAGGCCUUAGAAGGUGCGGGUUGCCGGAGUUUUAUUUU